CCUGGGGAGUACGGUCGCAAGAUUAAAACUCAAAGGAAUUGACGGGGGCCCGCACAAGCAGCGGAGCAUGUGGUUUAAUUCGAAGCAACGCGAAGAACCUUACCUAGACUUGACAUCUCCUGCAUUACCCUUAAUCGGGGAAGUUCCUUCGGGAACAGGAAGACAGGUGGUGCAUGGUUGUCGUCAGCUCGUGUCGUGAGAUGUUGGGUUAAGUCCCGCAACGAGCGCAACCCUUAUUGUUAGUUGCUACCAUUUAGUUGAGCACUCUAGCGAGACUGCCCGGGUUAACCGGGAGGAAGGUGGGGAUGACGUCAAAUCAUCAUGCCCCUUAUGUCUAGGGCUACACACGUGCUACAAUGGCAAGUACAAAGAGAAGCAAUACCGCGAGGUGGAGCAAAACUCAAAAACUUGUCUCAGUUCGGAUUGUAGGCUGAAACUCGCCUACAUGAAGCUGGAUGUUGC
Molecule: ribosomal RNA, 462 nt
Filed under: uncultured bacterium
Lineage: Bacteria
Description: bacterial SSU rRNA
Rfam family: Bacterial small subunit ribosomal RNA
Source: RNAcentral